GUAGGUAGCUGUCAAUACAGUGCUGAUAAGAGUCUACCACAUUUUACCUCCCAGCACAGAUUGUUGAAAGGAGAUGUACUUCAGUUCUAUGAUAUUAGUCAAUAAUUUGCCAAGAGAGACUUGAGGUCUAAUUUAGGUAAGAAAUUAGUAACCUUGUCUUUCUUAUCCCAUUUACAUUGGGCACUUGGGGACUAUUUUUUCUUUCCCUCUAGAUUCCAUGACUGGAUCCCAUCUUUUUGCUACCCUGGUGAAGGAGGGCUUCUCCUUGGUUUUCUCCGUGAGUUUGCUUUUCAAAUGCUGCUAAUCCUCAGGCUCCACCUCGGCUCCCUUCUGAAUGUUAGUCUUCUUGGGUCUGAUAUCACAAAGGAACAUACCACGAUGGAUCUAUCCUUAGGAAGUGCAGAUCCACUCAGU
This 414-nucleotide long non-coding RNA is filed under the name Chinchilla lanigera (long-tailed chinchilla). RNAcentral's name for it is "lncRNA (ENSCLAG00000022852.1)". Lineage: Eukaryota; Metazoa; Chordata; Mammalia; Rodentia; Chinchillidae. The record is from RNAcentral.